Arabidopsis lyrata subsp. lyrata is the source of this 1089-nucleotide long non-coding RNA. RefSeq lists it as uncharacterized. NCBI's taxonomy places the organism in Eukaryota, Viridiplantae, Streptophyta, Magnoliopsida, Brassicales, Brassicaceae. The transcript is spliced from 2 exons. The record is from RefSeq and is a predicted model, not a curated record.
GACAUGUUAUACACUUUCUCUCCUCUCUCGUUUGAUUAGAAAUAUUAGUUAGAAAAUAGUCCCAGCUAAUCGAUUUCUCUUUCUCCAACACCAUCAUCGAUUUCUCUUUUACGAGACGAAGAAGAAGGAGAUCCUUACUCUCCUCUACCGAACUCCCUCUUCCCUUAAUUUGAUGGGUUCUUAAUUUUACUCUUCAAUUUAGAUUUAUUCUUUGUUGAAUUUAUUGUCUUUGUUUUUGAAUUAAAAAUGUUUGGAUGUCAUUUGCGUAGACGAGAAUGAAGACUUCGUUGAUGAACUCUUCUAGCUUGUCUUCGUCAAAGAGUGAUGCUAACUAAACAUCAAAGAGAGACAUAUGUGUUCUACUCUCUAUCCUAACUCUGUUCAUCAAUGGCCCUUUGAUAACGACAGCUCAAUCUCCAUCUUCGUCUUCUUCAACUUCAUGUAAUCGAAUCUGUGGAGGUAUCGAGAUUCUUUUUCCUUUUGGAAUCGGAUGACGAGACUGUUAUCUCAACGACUGGUACGAGGUUGUCUGUAACACCACCACCUCUGGCUUCUCAAUAAAUCCUACCCCCUUACGUACCAAGAGAGAGAAAGAAAGUGUCGAAGUGGAGAGAAAAAACAGUGGUGUUUGGUGAUUACGUAAUUGAAAGGACCAAUGGCAACGGUUCCAAUUUAGACGAGUGUGAUGAUGGUGGGAUCGAUGCUGCACUUGGUAGGAAUCUUGUGAAUGUUUUCCUUCUGUUAUCCAUUUGAUCGUCUGCUUAAGCAUAUGGUAGGUAAGGUGGCUCCUGGAUUUCAAGAUAGGUUUACGAAAAAACACAAAAAUGCAUAUCCAUUUAUUUGCCGCUACAUGGAUAUUUCAUCAAUUUCUUACACUAUAUCCAUUUGUUCGAUGUUACAUGGAUACACCUCCACUCCUAAAUGUCAUAUAUGAAUUGAUACACCUCCACUUCUAAAUGUCAUAUAUGAAGACGUACUUGCGGAUUGUCAACCAUAGAAAUCUGUCCAUUCUCCUUCAAAAAUAUGUUCGCCAACUUAUGAAAUGUGCUUGUAUUUGAUUUUGGUGAAUUAUGUUUAGAUUUGGUGUUA